Metopolophium dirhodum (rose-grain aphid) is the source of this 571-nucleotide long non-coding RNA. RefSeq lists it as uncharacterized. The transcript is spliced from 3 exons. The record is from RefSeq and is a predicted model, not a curated record. Lineage: Eukaryota; Metazoa; Arthropoda; Insecta; Hemiptera; Aphididae.
CACAUUCUUUCACAUCACAGCUGAUGUUGACGACUGAAAACAUUUUUUGUAUAAUAUUAUUGCCAUUCCGUGCACGUUUUCUAUGAUACCUAUCUACGGAUAAUAAUAUUGCAUUUUGAGUAUUGUAACAAUAAUAUAUAUAUACAUUAUGAUUGAUACAACGACAUAAGCAUACUAGAGUUUUGAAUGCUCAGGAAUGCUUAAUUAGACAGAGUUCGGACAGAUGUAAAUUGUUCAACAAGAGUUGUUUUUGUUAGACCUGAUUGAAUAUACACCAUCGAGUGAUUCGAGUGACGGUAAUUCAUAGAAUUAAUUAACUGAAUAUAACAGGCUACGGAAUUUAAAAAUCAUUUUAAUAUAAUAGUUGUUUAAUUUAGUUUGGUGACAAAGUUGAAAAAUGUUUAGGCAAUGUUUGAAACAAUUGAUAAAAAUUAUCAUCAUUGUUUGUAUAGUAUAUAUAUGUUAUGAUAUGUUGUUAAUUAUGUUCAAAACAAUUUUAUUAUUUGUAUUAUAUUAUACAUUUAAGUCACUGUUAAAUAUUAAAUAAUAAUUUUUGAUAUUGCUAUUCAUA